GCGGAGGAAAAGAAACCAACUGGGAUUACCUUAGUAACGGCGAGUGAAGCGGUAAAAAGCUCAAAUUUGAAAUCUGGUACUUUCAGUGCCCGAGUUGUAAUUUGUAGAAUUUGUCUUUGAUUAGGUCCUUGUCUAUGUUCCUUGGAACAGGACGUCAUAGAGGGUGAGAAUCCCGUUUGGCGAGGAUACCUUUUCUCUGUAAGACUUUUUCGAAGAGUCGAGUUGUUUGGGAAUGCAGCUCAAAGUGGGUGGUAAAUUCCAUCUAAAGCUAAAUAUUGGCGAGAGACCGAUAGCGAACAAGUACAGUGAUGGAAAGAUGAAAAGAACUUUGAAAAGAGAGUGAAAAAGUACGUGAAAUUGUUGAAAGGGAAGGGCAUUUGAUCAGACAUGGUGUUUUUUGCAUGCACUCGCCUCUCGUGGGCUUGGGCCUCUCAAAAAUUUCACUGGGCCAACAUCAAUUCUGGCAGCAGGAUAAAUCAUUAAGAAUGUAGCUACUUCGGUAGUGUUAUAGCUUUUUGGAAUACUGUUAGCCGGGAUUGAGGACUGCGCUUCGGCAAGGAUGUUGGCAUAAUGGUUAAAUGCCGCCCGUCUU
This 592-nucleotide ribosomal RNA is filed under the name Hanseniaspora uvarum. RNAcentral's name for it is "eukaryotic LSU rRNA". It matches the Rfam family "Eukaryotic large subunit ribosomal RNA", at positions 50 to 655 of the family's 3401-position model. Lineage: Eukaryota; Fungi; Ascomycota; Saccharomycetes; Saccharomycodales; Saccharomycodaceae. The record is from RNAcentral.